CAAUUGCUUAUAACCUUUUGGUUAUAAAUAAUUGUUAGUGGCAGACGGGUGAGUAAUGCGUAGGAAUCUACCUAGUAGUAUGGAAUAGCCAUUAGAAAUGAUGGGUAAUACUGUAUAAUCCCUGCGGGGGAAAGAUUUAUCGCUAUUAGAUGAGCCUACGUUAGAUUAGCUAGUUGGUAAGGUAAUGGCUUACCAAGGCUAUGAUCUAUAGCUGGUCUGAGAGGACGAUCAGCCACACUGGAACUGAGAUACGGUCCAGACUCCUACGGGAGGCAGCAGUGGGGAAUAUUGGACAAUGGGCGAAAGCCUGAUCCAGCUAUGCCGCGUGAGUGAAGAAGGCCUUCGGGUUGUAAAACUCUUUCAAUAGGGAAGAUAAUGACGGUACCUAUA
Molecule: ribosomal RNA, 390 nt
Filed under: Ehrlichia chaffeensis
Lineage: Bacteria; Pseudomonadati; Pseudomonadota; Alphaproteobacteria; Rickettsiales; Anaplasmataceae
Description: bacterial SSU rRNA
Rfam family: Bacterial small subunit ribosomal RNA
Source: RNAcentral